UACAGAGGUGGCAAGCGUUGCUCGGUAUCACUGGGCUUAAAGGGCGCGUAGGCGGUGCGGUACGGUUUCGGUGAAAUCCCUCGGCCCAACCGAGGAACAGCCGGGGCUACGGCCGCGCUAGACGGCAUCAGGGGACAGUGGAACUUCCGGUGGAGCGGUGAAAUGCGUAGAUAUCGGAAGGAACGCCGGUGGCGAAGGCGGCGACCUGGGUCGACACUGACGCUGAGGCGCGAAAGCGUGGGGAGCAAACAGG
RNAcentral lists this ribosomal RNA (253 nucleotides) under uncultured bacterium. RNAcentral's name for it is "partial 16S ribosomal RNA". It matches the Rfam family "Bacterial small subunit ribosomal RNA", at positions 524 to 776 of the family's 1533-position model. The record is from RNAcentral.